UAACCGACUGCACCACCCAGGCGCCCCGUACAACUCUGUAUUAAGAAGCCAUUAUCAAGAGGUAAUGGCUAAAAUCGAUUACUCCAGAAAUAACAGUGUAUGUAUAUCAUUUAGAAAUAUGGAGGUGAACACCAGAAGAACCAACUGAAAGAGCUGAAAGUGGUAGCCCCAGGAGGUGAAUUGGCUAGGCAGGAACUGCUGUUUUUCAUUAGAAGCUCUACUUCAUUAGAAGCUCUAUUUUGUAAAAUAAAUGAAUAUAUUAGUUAUUAUUCUAAGAAUGUAUAUGGGUUUAUUGGGAAAAUUUAGAAAACAAAGUAUGAAGAAGAAAACAAAAUGAUCUAUGAAACCUCUAUACCUGCUUAACCUUUGGUGAAUUGUCCUUCAAUUGUCUUAAGUAUGUAGAUAUGUUUUUUAUGUAGGCGUUAUUCUAACAAUUUCAUAGCCAAAAUUAUAUUUCACUAUUUUAAUCUUCACUCUCUUAGUCACAAGUGAUAUUAAACACUUCUCCCUAUGUUUAUCAGCCUUUUGCAUUUCCUAUAUUAAUUGCUUUUACUUGUCUCUUGUUCAUUUUCUUUUGGAUAUUGGUCUUUCUAUUAUCAAUUUGUAUGAGACUUUUGCUUUUCAAUUCUGCUUGGUUAGGCUGAAAUUUUUAUUUUUAUGGGGUCACUUAAAAAAAUUUUUUUUUGGUAUAAUUUGGCCUCUAUGACCUUAACUUAUUAAUAUCCCUUAACAAAUUCCUUUGGCGGUUCUUACCCAUGAUGAAGUUCCAAGUUCUGUGUCCUUCCUGGUCUGGCCUUUGACAUCUGUUCAGGCCUGUCUUCUACAGGCCCCUUCCAUUCCAGUCAAGACCUACCACUCAAAGCCUCUCAAACAGGCUUUUCAAUAUCUCCACACCUUGACAGAUAAACAUGCUUUCUGCCUGAAAUGACUUUUCUUUCCUCAAAAACAUCUUUUGAGCUAUACCUCACCUUCUUGACUAUCUUUUCUGCGUUAUUUCCACAUUCAACUAUUACGGACAUACUAACUUGUUUUAGAAUUAAUUUUCAAUUCUGUCUCCUCCAUUAGUCUGUGGGCUUCCUUACCUAUCUUUGUUUAGCUUUGAACCCCAGUUGCAGUACAGUGCUAGGUAUUUAAUAAACAAUAAAUGUCGGCUCAGUGUUGAAUAAUUCAUUAUUUGUGGUAGGCAGAAUUCCAUAAUGACCUCAAGAUUCCCUCCCCGUGGUGUAUGUGAACUGUAUAAUCCCCUCCCCUUCCAGUGCAGGUAGGACCUGUGAAUAUGAUGAGAUAGUCAUUCUCUUUUUGUUUUUUUUUUUUUUUUGUUUGUUUUAGAAAGAGAAAGAGAGAGCAUGAGCCGGGGAGAGGGGCAGAGGGAGAAAGAAUCUCAAGCAGGCUCCAAACUCAGCACAGAGCCUGACACAGGGCUCAGUCCCAACCAUGACCCUUGGAUCAUGACCUGAGCCAAAAUGAAAAGUCAGACACUCAACCAACUGAGCCACUCAGGUGCCCCAAGAUAGUCAUUCUCUUGGUUAGUUUACAUUAUAGGACAAAGGUGUUGGAAUAGUUGUUCUAGUGGUCGUGUUGCCUUUGUAAGACUCCACUGUAGCCAACUUGAGGAAGAUUCUCCUGCUGGCUGUGAAGAAGAUGCUCUGUUGUGAAAGUGCCAUGACCUAGAACCUGAAGGCAGCUCCUAGGAGCUGAGAGUGAUCCCAGUUGACAGCCAGCAAGAAAACAAGGACCUGAGUUCUGCGACCAUAGGCUCUGAAUUCUGCCAACCACCUGAAUGAGGAUGGAAGAGGAUUCUGAGACUCCGAUAAGAUCCCAGCCCCAGCAGACAACUUGAUUUCAGUCCAAUGAGACCCUGAGGACAGGGCCUAACUGACAGUGAAUCUCCCUUCCCUAUGGAACCACAUAUGUGUGAACUACCACCUGCUGUUUUUUUGUGACAACUUUUGUAUGCUGCAUUAAGCCCGCUUGACUGAAUCCUCAAUACCCCACAGCCUGGUCUUGUUCAUGGCCCAGAAGAAACAUUAGAGAGUACAGAAAAAAAAAUAGGAAAGUAUGGAGACUAAAGAUCAUCCAUAAUCUCCAAAUGCAAAGACUGAUUCAUUCAUUCAUUCUGUCAAUGUUCACUACAAAAGACCACCAGGAACACAGCUGGAAUUGAGAUCACUCUGGCUGUGGGAGGACAGCAGGCGAGAAGUGUGAUAUAAGGCAGGAGACCAACUAAAAUACAACUUUAUUAGUUCAGUUCUGGAGGCUGGGAAGUCCAAGAUCAAGAGAAAGGAGAUGACAAAUGGAGCAAAGUUGUUCAGGAAAUGGAAGAGGAUGGCACCAAGAGAAAGAAGAGUUGGACAGGAAGCAAGACUUCUGCUGGGAUUACAGAAGAGGAAUACCUAGCACAGUGCCUGAAAAAUAGAAGGAACUUAAAAGUAUGCUGCUGAAUGGAAGACUAAAUGAAUGGAGGGAACAGUCAACUGGUGGUGUUGGAAGUACAGAAGAUAAUAGGAUGGAACAAGUUCAGGAAGAUUUUCUUAGAGUUGUUUAACUCUGCUUCAACAAAAUUCUGCUUCAACAAAACUCUUAGAAGAAUGAAGGCUUGAGUUGCCAAAGCCCAAACUUGAGGACUGGCUAUCCCUCUAUGUUUCCAUCAGGCUCUGCAUUUAGUUACAGAUGGAAGUUGGUUAUCUUAUCUCCAACAAAGACUGCAAGAGUGGGAUGUGUCCUUCUGGCUCUUUGUAAUCAGGCUUUUUGUGACUGGGGAUGCUGGUUGCCCAUAUGACAUUAAAAUUUUUUCAGUCUCUGUACUGGGGGUAAAAAUAUGAGCAGAAUUUGAAUUUGAAAAUUACUUCUUCCUACAUUGAGUGGUGUGAUGGUGUAUGUUCUUCUAUAAUAGACACUCGCUCAACACUGUAUAUUUGAAAUAACUCCCUUCUGGAGGAAGGUAGAGAAGAAGUGUGUGGAAGUUAUAUAUCUUUGACAGAAACCACACUCUCCCUACACUGAGGAGAGUCCAUUGGUACCUAAGCAUUGAUCACGAGUACUCCACACACCAGUUGGGCAGGGUUUUUAGGAACCACAAACCCAUUAACAUUCCCUGAUAUAACUUUUGAAAACAAACGAAAAUAAAAUCUAGGUCUUUCCUGGGUUUCCUCUCUUUGCAUGUUGUAAGUUGUAUUUGUUUAUAUUUCUCCAUGUUUGUGUAUUCUCUUGCUUUAACAUACUUGGUCUCUCUUUAACUCUGACCAUUGUUGGAUCUAACUUGUCCUACUCAGUUUUCCAUCCCAGGGGGGUAGCAUGGCUUACGAAAAGAGCAGGGCCUUAAUGCCAAAAAGCAAAAAGACCUAGCCUCAAAUGCCAGUUAUGCUCUUUCAUAUCUAGGAAACUUUCAACAAAGUAUUCAACAUCUUUGAGCCACAGUUUCUGUGCUGUUCAGUUAUAUUUCCGUUUCCUCUUUCUGGGUGCAUGGUAGGAUUAUACUUCUGGUUCCCUUAAUAUUAGCACAUGUCAUGUACUUGUCAGUGGAUUGAGAAUAGAAGUAGACACGUGUUAUUCCUGGGGAGAAGGCUGUAAGAAACUAAUCUUGUUGCCUUUCUGCUGAAACAUGACAGAGAUUCUAUCAGUCUGAUCCUUGAGUGAGGGCAACAUGGAGCAGAACACCAACCCAAUGGAUACAUAGCAUGACCAAGAAAUAAACUUCUAUUGAUUGAGGUCAUUAAAAUUUGGGGGUUGUUUGUUACUCAACAUGAAUUAUCCCAUCUGGCUGAUGUCUCCUAAUAUGAAUAAUGAUUAUAAGAUUUACCUCAAAGAGAAUUACCAACCCACAUUAGAGGAUUAAAAUGCAGUGGCUUGGGGCGCCUGGGUGGCUCAGUCGUUUAUGUGUCCAACUUUGGCUCAGGUUGUGAUACAGCUUGGAGCCUGGAGCCUGCUUUGGAUUCUGUGUCUCCCUCUCUCUGCCCCUCCUCCGCUUGUGCUUUGUCUCUCUCCCUCUCAAAAAUAAACAUUAAAAAAAAUUAAAAUAAAAAAGCAGUAGCUCUUAUUACUAUUACCCCCCCUUCUGCCAGCUGUCUGUAUCUACCAUUCUUAUCAGACAUUCCACUUCCACACUCAUACAUGGCUCACUCUUGUCCAUUUCACUCCACCCCCAUAAUUCUCUUUCACUCUACCCAUAAUUGUCCUCCAUUGCCCUCUGCCCACCCCCCUACUCCCCCACCCCCGCUUACCAACUCCUUCUCUUAGUCUUCUGUGGAAUACCAGCUCCAAUUUGGUCAAACUCUCUAAACCUGUUUCUUGUCUUUUUUUCUCCAAAUGGGACAGAUUUUUUAAUUUAAUUUUUUUAAUUUUUUAAUUUAUUGUGUGAGAGAGAGAAAUUGUGAGCAGGGGA
Molecule: long non-coding RNA, 4381 nt
Organism: Prionailurus viverrinus (fishing cat)
Lineage: Eukaryota; Metazoa; Chordata; Mammalia; Carnivora; Felidae
Exons: 7
Source: RefSeq, a predicted model, not a curated record